This 253-nucleotide ribosomal RNA is filed under the name uncultured bacterium. RNAcentral's name for it is "partial 16S ribosomal RNA". It matches the Rfam family "Bacterial small subunit ribosomal RNA", at positions 524 to 776 of the family's 1533-position model. The record is from RNAcentral.
UACAGAGGGUGCGAGCGUUAAUCGGAAUUACUGGGCGUAAAGCGCGUGUAGGCGGCGAGGCAAGUCGGAUGUGAAAGCCCUGGGCUUAACCUAGGAAGUGCAUUCGAAACUGCCUGGCUGGAGUUCUGGAGAGGAAGGCGGAAUUCUCGGUGUAGAGGUGAAAUUCGUAGAUAUCGAGAGGAACACCGGUGGCGAAGGCGGCCUUCUGGACAGCAACUGACGCUGAGACGCGAAAGCGUGGGGAGCAAACAGG